This 557-nucleotide small RNA is filed under the name Pongo abelii (Sumatran orangutan). RNAcentral's name for it is "retained intron". Lineage: Eukaryota; Metazoa; Chordata; Mammalia; Primates; Hominidae. The record is from RNAcentral.
ACAUUUGUGCAGUGUGCACAGAUGCAGGUGUGAGCUGUUGGCUCCCUUCCUGAAGGACCUCUGUGGGGGUCCUCACUGAGUCCGCAGAAUCAGUGGGCUCAGGACUUGCCCCAUGGGGCAGGGGGCGGGUAAGGAGAAGGUCCUUUAGAAAUGUUAAGGUGGAGUCCUUAACCCCCAUCCCAGCUCUGAGCUUAUACACUGACACUUUUAAAAUGUGUCAUCAACUUUGCCCACAGGUUUUCCUUAAUAGCUUCAAUAUAACUACCUAUAUGUGCUUAACUGAAAGCAAUACAAUAUGUGCAAAUAUUUCUGAGUCUGCCAGAAAGGCCAGCCUCACUGUGACCAUCAGCCCCCGGUUCAGGACUUGGGGACUGAGUAGUGUAUAUGUUUGCGCAGGUCGAAACAGUGGGGCCUGGGAAACCAAGUCACCUUCACCAGCUGCACCAUCCCCGUUGCCACGGGCUGGGAAAAAACCAAUGACACCACUGAAAACAACUCCAGUUGCCUCUCAACAGAAUGCUUCAAGUGUUUGUGAAGAAAAACCUAUACCUGCUGAA